This is a long non-coding RNA of Manis pentadactyla (Chinese pangolin), 991 nucleotides long. RefSeq lists it as uncharacterized. The transcript is spliced from 4 exons. Lineage: Eukaryota; Metazoa; Chordata; Mammalia; Pholidota; Manidae. The record is from RefSeq and is a predicted model, not a curated record.
GCCCUUCAAGCAGACCUUCUCCGACCGCCGCUCAGCCCAGCCCUAUGCCUUCUUGCCUUCACCUCUAAUUGGAUGCUGGCCUCCAUUGGCUCCGCCCUUCGGUGACGCAAGCCAACUUCCCUCCGAUUCACUGCGCCGAGGGGGCGGAGCUGGGCGGAGCGACGGCGCGCAAUUGUCAUGGAGACAAGAAGCCGGCAGCAGCGGCUGCCGCGAGUCGGUUGCCACUGAGGCAAGGCUGAACUGCCCAGACCGCCGGAGCAAGAGGGAGCGCGGAGCCAGCCAGUGGAGCCUCUAAGACAGCCAAGGGGCGGUGUACUCCUGGGCUCUGUCUAGGCUCGGGAGGUCGCGGAGGAAGCCCCGGAGUGUCCCCGCCCUGCUCGCUUCGCGCCCGCCUCUAGCGGCCUCGGCUCCUCAGCGCCCGCCCCCGGCUCCGCCCGCUGCUGCCGCAGCUCUCGGCGCUAACGGUCGGUAGCAGCCCGCGCGCGCCGCCCGCCGGGGGCUUGCGCCAGCCACGAGGGAGCGUCCGCGGCCUGCGCGCCGGCGCCGCGGAGGAGAGAAUCUACAGUUCAUAAUGAAGCUACUGUACUGCCUGUUGGAAGGAAGAGAUUCUGAAGAUAGGGAGAAAAAUGAUAGAGCUUUUUAGUCAUCAGAAUAUCAACUCUCUGAACCAUAUCUGUGGAGGAUAUUAACAGACCAAUAAAGGAUUCAUGGAGUCUAAUUAUAUAAUUAGAAAAUUGAUUCAGCUAUCGGUCUUUGAAAUUUCCUGUGGUCUGUUCAAUCUAGAUGCAAAGGACAUGGAAAAAUCAAGUGCUCAAGUGGUUUAAAUAUGUUUUGGAUGUUCCUAUUUAUAGACCAGUAUUUUUCCAAUUAAAUCCUCCGUUGUCAUACUCUUAUUGAUCACCAAUUUUACUUGAAAUGCUUAGUAUUUUAGAGUAUCACCAACAUUUUCUGUUUUAAAGUAUAGAAAAAUAAAAUCAAUUUUGCAUGUUGA